AUGCUAGUGAGAAUGUUAAACAAGCUUCUUAUAGGGAACAAAUCUGAUCUCACUGACAAAAGAGUUGUAUCAUAUGAGACAGCGAAGGCAUUUGCUGAUGAGAUUGGCAUCCCAUUCAUGGAGACCAGUGCAAAGAAUGCCUUGAACGUUGAGCAGGCUUUCAUGGCUAUGUCUGCUUCAAUCAAGGACAGGUGUGUGUUCCCAGACGGUUUAAUUAGCACAGGCCAUCCUACCAGUACACUUUUUUUUAACUACCAUCAUUUUACACUUUAUUUAUUGCUCAUUGAUGCUCUGUUCGUAUAG
RNAcentral lists this ribosomal RNA (303 nucleotides) under Triticum aestivum (bread wheat). RNAcentral's name for it is "partial small subunit ribosomal RNA". Lineage: Eukaryota; Viridiplantae; Streptophyta; Magnoliopsida; Poales; Poaceae. The record is from RNAcentral.